CUUGAUGACAACUUGUUUGAAGGACUUUGCUACAUCUUUCAUUUUGAGGUUGGAACACAUAGCUUCAAACUCGUCCAAUGACAACUUUCCUCGGUGGGCCGCAUUUGACGAAUCUGUCAAAAUUUAACGGUAUUAAGGUUCAGGAAUUGGGCGAGGCAGGGGCCUACCUCGGGUACGCGGUGUGGGUCGAGGACGAGGUCGACCACUCGACACGGAUGAGAGCGCCGUGAAUUGUAGGUGUAAAGUUCAACCAUAUUUUGUGUCAUACAACAAUUUUAAAAUUGCUGUAUUUUGUCAAAAACAGUGACUACAAUUGAUGUGGAGGUCCCCAAGAUGCAAGAAAUAUGGGACAAAACAUUCUUACUCUUCUUCAACGAAAACGAAAGGGAAACAAUCCUGAUACAGACUGCGUCAUCCCAUCAGCCAAAUCCACCCGAUUUAAUGAUCGCUACUUCAAACGGCAAUUUUAAAAUUGAUCCGUUCUUUUGUAACACGGUAGUAACGGUAUUCGUAAAAGUAUCCGUCUCAAAUGUCAAUUAACAUGUCAACUUGUCCAAAUUCAUUGAGCAAUAAAAAAUCUGUCCUG
Molecule: long non-coding RNA, 586 nt
Organism: Folsomia candida
Lineage: Eukaryota; Metazoa; Arthropoda; Collembola; Entomobryomorpha; Isotomidae
Exons: 2
Source: RefSeq, a predicted model, not a curated record